UCAAGAAUGAACGCUGGCGGCGUGCUUCAUACAUGCAAGUCGAACGAGAAUCGGUAGCUUGCUACCGAGGAAAGUGGCGGAACGGGUGAGUAAUACGAUAGGGAAUCUGCCCUUAGGAGGGGGACAACAGUUGGAAACGACUGCUAAUACCGCAUAUGAGUAUAAUUGAAAUAUUAUACUUGAAAACUUCGGUGCCUAAGGAUGAGCCUGUGCCUGAUUAGCUAGUUGGAGGUGUAAAGGACCCCCAAGGCGACGAUCAGUAGCUGGUUUGAGAGGAUGAUCAGCCACAAUGGGACUGAGACACGGCCCAUACUCCUACGGGAGGCAGCAGUAGGGAAUUUUGCGCAAUGGGCGAAAGCCUGACGCAGCAACGCCGCGUGUGUGAUGAAGCCCUUAGGGGUGUAAAACACUGUCACCGGGGACGAAAUAUGACGGUACCCGGAGAGGAAGCACCGGCUAACUCCGUGCCAGCAGCCGC
Molecule: ribosomal RNA, 478 nt
Filed under: uncultured bacterium
Lineage: Bacteria
Description: bacterial SSU rRNA
Rfam family: Bacterial small subunit ribosomal RNA
Source: RNAcentral